UGUUGCAUGUAAUCUUCUUGCCAUUUUUUUGUUCCUCAAAUAACUGUUUUUGAUUUUCAAGAACCGCAUGGUAGUGAGCUCUUGAUUCUUUAGCAAAUUCUGCCUUCAAGCUGCUAUAUACACCAGACAUGUUUGAUGCUAUGUGUUGCCUGUAGAUACCUAGCAAUUCUUCCAUUUUAUCUUCACUUAGGGAGUUGGAGCCACCGGGAGUAGAGCUAGACCCAAAUACAGGUGAAGAUGUAGAAAUACCGAGAAUCAUCAUUUCUUGGACAUAUAUAUUGUCUGGGACUUGUUGUAUUGCAUUAUCCAGUACUCCAUUUAUAAUCCCAUCUAAUCUACGGUGUCCAUUAUCCACUAACAAUGAAAGAGUUCUGUACCCAAAAGUUUGUAAUUCUUCUUCAUUAGGCUGUAG
RNAcentral lists this long non-coding RNA (412 nucleotides) under Olea europaea subsp. europaea. Lineage: Eukaryota; Viridiplantae; Streptophyta; Magnoliopsida; Lamiales; Oleaceae. The record is from RNAcentral.